AGAAUCAACGCUGGCGGCGUGCCUAACACAUGCAAGUCGAACGAGAAAGUGGAGCAAUCCAUGAGUAAAGUGGCGCACGGGUGAGUAACACGUGACUAACCUACCCUUGAGUGGGGGAUAACCUAGAGAAAUCUGGGCUAAUACCGCAUAAUACCUUCGGGUCAAAGGAGCAAUUCGCUUAAGGAGGGGGUCGCGGCCGAUUAGCUAGUUGGCGGGGUAAUGGCCCACCAGGCGAUGAUCGGUA
Molecule: ribosomal RNA, 244 nt
Filed under: uncultured bacterium
Lineage: Bacteria
Description: partial small subunit ribosomal RNA
Rfam family: Bacterial small subunit ribosomal RNA
Source: RNAcentral